GGUGAGUAAUGUCUGGGGAUCUGCCCGGUAGAGGGGGAUAACCACUGGAAACGGUGGCUAAUACCGCAUAAUGUCGCAAGACCAAAGUGGGGGACCUUCGGGCCUCACACUACCGGAUGAACCCAGAUGGGAUUAGCUAGUUGGUGGGGUAACGGCUCACCAAGGCGACGAUCCCUAGCUGGUCUGAGAGGAUGACCAGCCACACUGGAACUGAGACACGGUCCAGACUCCUACGGGAGGCAGCAGUGGGGAAUAUUGCACAAUGGGCGCAAGCCUGAUGCAGCCAUGCCGCGUGUAUGAAGAAGGCCUUCGGGUUGUAAAGUACUUUCAGCGGGGAGGAAGGGAGUGAGGUUAAUAACUUCAUUCAUUGACGUUACCCGCAGAAGAAGCACCGGCUAACUCCGUGCCAGCAGCCGCGGUAAUACGGAGGGUGCAAGCGUUAAUCGGAAUUACUGGGCGUAAAGCGCACGCAGGCGGUCUGUUAAGUCAGAUGUGAAAUCCCCGGGCUCAACCCGGGAACUGCAUUUGAAACUGGCAGGCUUGAGUCUCGUAGAGGGGGGUGGAAUUCCAGGUGUAGCGGUGAAAUGCGUAGAGAUCUGGAGGAAUACCGGUGGCGAAGGCGGCCCCCUGGACGAAGACUGACGCUCAGGUGCGAAAGCGUGGGGAGCAAACAGGAUUAG
Molecule: ribosomal RNA, 680 nt
Filed under: Erwinia sp. DH19
Lineage: Bacteria; Pseudomonadati; Pseudomonadota; Gammaproteobacteria; Enterobacterales; Erwiniaceae
Description: bacterial SSU rRNA
Rfam family: Bacterial small subunit ribosomal RNA
Source: RNAcentral